This 253-nucleotide ribosomal RNA is filed under the name uncultured bacterium. RNAcentral describes it as "partial 16S ribosomal RNA". It matches the Rfam family "Bacterial small subunit ribosomal RNA", at positions 524 to 776 of the family's 1533-position model. The record is from RNAcentral.
UACGUAGGGGGCAAGCGUUAUCCGGAUUUACUGGGUGUAAAGGGAGCGUAGACGGCGUUGCAAGUCUGAUGUGAAAACCCGGGGCUCAACCCCGGGAGUGCAUUGGAAACUGUGGUGCUAGAGUGUCGGAGAGGCAAGUGGAAUUCCUAGUGUAGCGGUGAAAUGCGUAGAUAUUAGGAGGAACACCAGUGGCGAAGGCGGCUUGCUGGACGAUGACUGACGUUGAGGCUCGAAAGCGUGGGGAGCAAACAGG